GGAUGCGAUCAUACCAGCACUAAAGCACCGGAUCCCAUCAGAACUUCGAAGUUAAGCGUUCUUGGGCGAGAGUAGUACUAGGAUGGGUGACCUCCUGGGAAGUCCUCGUGUUGCAUUCC
This 119-nucleotide ribosomal RNA is filed under the name Hordeum vulgare subsp. vulgare (domesticated barley). Lineage: Eukaryota; Viridiplantae; Streptophyta; Magnoliopsida; Poales; Poaceae. The record is from RNAcentral.